AUUGAACGCUGGCGGCAGGCUUAACACAUGCAAGUCGAGCGGUAACAUUUCUAGCUUGCUAGAAGAUGACGAGCGGCGGACGGGUGAGUAAUACUUAGGAAUCUACCUAGUAGUGGGGGAUAGCACGGGGAAACUCGUAUUAAUACCGCAUACGACCUACGGGAGAAAGGGGCGAACUUGUUGCUCUCGCUAUUAGAUGAGCCUAAGUCGGAUUAGCUAGAUGGUGGGGUAAAGGCCUACCAUGGCGACGAUCUGUAGCUGGUCUGAGAGGAUGAUCAGCCACACCGGAACUGAGACACGGUCCGGACUCCUACGGGAGGCAGCAGUGGGGAAUAUUGGACAAUGGGGGGAAACCCUGAUCCAGCCAUGCCGCGUGUGUGAAGAAGGCCUUUUGGUUGUAAAGCACUUUAAGCAGUGAAGAAGACUCCGUGGUUAAUACCCAUGGACGAUGACAUUAGCUGCAGAAUAAGCACCGGCUAAACUCUGUGCCAG
This 492-nucleotide ribosomal RNA is filed under the name uncultured bacterium. Its description in RNAcentral is "bacterial SSU rRNA". It matches the Rfam family "Bacterial small subunit ribosomal RNA", at positions 30 to 511 of the family's 1533-position model. The record is from RNAcentral.